RNAcentral lists this ribosomal RNA (252 nucleotides) under uncultured bacterium. RNAcentral's name for it is "partial 16S ribosomal RNA". It matches the Rfam family "Bacterial small subunit ribosomal RNA", at positions 524 to 776 of the family's 1533-position model. The record is from RNAcentral.
UACGUAGGGUGCAAGCGUUGUCCGGAAUUAUUGGGCGUAAAGCGCGCGCAGGCGGCCUUGUAAGUCUGUUGUUUAAACUCGGGGCUCAACCCCGAGUCGCAAUGGAAACUGCAAAGCUUGAGUACAGAAGAGGAAAGUGGAAUUCCACGUGUAGCGGUGAAAUGCGUAGAGAUGUGGAGGAACACCAGUGGCGAAGGCGACUUUCUGGGCUGUAACUGACGCUGAGGCGCGAAAGCGUGGGGAGCAAACAGG